UACAGAGGGUGCGAGCGUUACUCGGAAUUACUGGGCGUAAAGCGUGCGUAGGUGGUUUGUUAAGUCUGAUGUGAAAGCCCUGGGCUCAACCUGGGAAUUGCAUUGGAUACUGGCAGGCUAGAGUGCGGUAGAGGAUGGCGGAAUUCCCGGUGUAGCAGUGAAAUGCGUAGAGAUCGGGAGGAACAUCUGUGGCGAAGGCGGCCAUCUGGACCAGCACUGACACUGAGGCACGAAAGCGUGGGGAGCAAACAGG
This 253-nucleotide ribosomal RNA is filed under the name uncultured bacterium. RNAcentral describes it as "partial 16S ribosomal RNA". It matches the Rfam family "Bacterial small subunit ribosomal RNA", at positions 524 to 776 of the family's 1533-position model. The record is from RNAcentral.